UACGUAGGGGGCAAGCGUUGUCCGGAUUUAUUGGGCGUAAAGAGCGUGUAGGCGGCUAUUUAAGUCCUGCGUGAAAUCCUGCGGCUCAACCGCAGACGGUCGUGGGAAACUGGAUGGCUAGAGUGCGGGAGAGGAGAGUGGAAUUCCCGGUGUAGCGGUGAAAUGCGCAGAUAUCGGGAAGAACACCCGUGGCGAAGGCGGCUCUCUGGACCGGAACUGACGCUGAUGCGCGAAAGCGUGGGGAGCAAACGGG
This 253-nucleotide ribosomal RNA is filed under the name uncultured bacterium. RNAcentral describes it as "partial 16S ribosomal RNA". It matches the Rfam family "Bacterial small subunit ribosomal RNA", at positions 524 to 776 of the family's 1533-position model. The record is from RNAcentral.